GAUGAACGCUGGCGGCGUGCCUAAUACAUGCAAGUCGAGCGAACGGAUGAGAAGCUUGCUCCUCUGAUGUUAGCGGCGGACGGGUGAGUAACACGUGGAUAACCUACCUAUAAGACUGGGAUAACUUCGGGAAACCGGAGCUAAUACCGGAUAAUAUUUUGAACCGCAUGGUUCAAAAGUGAAAGACGGUCUUGCUGUCACUUAUAGAUGGAUCCGCGCUGCAUUAGCUAGUUGGUAAGGUAACGGCUUACCAAGGCAACGAUGCAUAGCCGACCUGAGAGGGUGAUCGGCCACACUGGAACUGAGACACGGUCCAGACUCCUACGGGAGGCAGCAGUAGGGAAUCUUCCGCAAUGGGCGAAAGCCUGACGGAGCAACGCCGCGUGAGUGAUGAAGGUCUUCGGAUCGUAAAACUCUGUUAUUAGGGAAGAACAAAUGUGUAAGUAACUGUGCACAUCUUGACGGUACCUAAUCAGAAAGCCACGGCUAACUACGUG
Molecule: ribosomal RNA, 497 nt
Filed under: uncultured bacterium
Lineage: Bacteria
Description: partial 16S ribosomal RNA
Rfam family: Bacterial small subunit ribosomal RNA
Source: RNAcentral